This is a long non-coding RNA of Cebus imitator (Panamanian white-faced capuchin), 483 nucleotides long. RefSeq lists it as uncharacterized. The record is from RefSeq and is a predicted model, not a curated record. NCBI's taxonomy places the organism in Eukaryota, Metazoa, Chordata, Mammalia, Primates, Cebidae. The transcript is spliced from 3 exons.
AAUUGUGAAGAUCAGCCAAGAAGAUGAGUAAAUGGUAUAAACUUGACAAACUGUAAGACAAUUGAAAUACCAUAAAAAACACCAGGCUGGUCUGGUUAGGAGGAGAAAUCUUGCAUUCAGAUUGAACAAAACCCUGAGAUCCCAGGACAAGUGCUCAGUCGGCGAGACAGAGGACCUUCUUGGGCAUCAAGAUCUGCUCAAAGUUUGACCCCUCUGGGCCUCUGUUUCCUCAUUUAUCAUAAUGAGGAAAACUGGAUGAUUUCUGAGGCCCCGUUCUACGUUUCUACAAUGGCUUGUGUUAUUUUAAAGGCACCAAGUGAAGAAAUUGCAAGUCAUACAGUGGAAGUAUGCACAGAAAAGAUUUCAACCUCAAAUAAAAUCUGGCACUGAAGUUUCACUCUCCUCAUGGAACAAAUGUAUCAAGACUUGGUCAGAACUGAAGGCCAGAACACUUUCAAAAGUGAAGGGUUACAAGCUAAGGAA